Non-coding RNA from Phrynosoma platyrhinos (Desert horned lizard), 72 nucleotides. NCBI's taxonomy places the organism in Eukaryota, Metazoa, Chordata, Lepidosauria, Squamata, Phrynosomatidae. The record is from the annotation of a GenBank genome assembly.
GCCAAUAUGGCAUAGUGGUUUGAGUAUUGAACUGAGAUUCUAGAGACCAGGGUUCGAUUCCCUGCUUAGCUA